AUGCAGCAGAUGAAGAAGGGUUCCUCUGGUCCUCCCUCCAGGUGUUCAACAAACCAGAGCCAGGGGAAUCCAGACAGGCGGAGGUUGAGGCGAGGGGAGACGGUGGAGGUCAGCAGCCCCUCGGCGAGCCUCGCCGCCGGGCCCCGGCUGAGAGAGCGGCCCCUGAGUCGCUGUCACACCCUGGACUCGGGAGAACAAACGCCGGAGCCCACACGCGCUCCAGACGCGCCUGAAAACACUCCGCAAGAGAGGAAUCGGACAGACGACGCGCACACUGACAGAGACGACGCACAGCCUGACGCCAACGAAACCCACUCCAACGGUAGCGAGACCUCACCAUCCUCGCCCGCUGAUGCACCGUCACACGCCAAUAAUCCGUUUGAACCCCGUCCCACACACACUCCAACCGCUCGCUGUGCUUCACGUGACGCCGCCGAGCCGUCCGACACCACCGGCCAGAGUCUCCGCUCUCGGAACGGAGAGCUGGAGUCGUCGGACGAUCACACUCACGGCAACAACGAGGCUUUGCCGUCUGAGGACACGGACGGAGACUCCGGUCCUUCCUGCCCCGCUGAGCUCCACCCCACAAUCCAAUCUGACAGAGGCGAUCAGAGAGACGGAGACCACACGGAGUCGAAUCCUGAAGGCUUCAACUGAAAUGAACGGAGACAUCGUGAGGAUUCGUACAGGGAGAUUAUUAAGGAGCACAAAACUGACUUGAUUUUUCCCCCUUCGCCACGAAGUAACGCCAAAAAAACUAAAAAGAAGCAACGAAAGGACACGACUUGAGAUCAGACGUGGCGUCGACUCUACGCAGCCGACUGUCGCUGCAUCCGUAGUAGGAGAAACUACACAGUGAAGUCGCAUUUCUGUGGGCUGACUUCUACUAAACAGUUCUUCAACCGUUUUAAUUUUGCAGAAACAAUGCCAGCGUGGAAAAGUGUAAGCGGUUAAAAGAGCCUCCUCUUCCUCCUCCUCACCCGAGUUUAAAGCACUUUCUUCUUCUAGCCUUCACAGUAAAGAAAAAGGGAUACAAACUGUUAUUUUAAUUUGCGUGAAUGUUGUUGAUUUAGUUUUGAUUCAAGCCACCAGACUGUAGCUCUGAUCUGCACCAGACUUCAUUUGAAGAACACGUUGUUUUACUUGAAUACUAGUUCGUUUUUUUUUAGCGUUCAUGAAUGAAUUUACAGUUUGGUUGGUUUUGCUUGUUUUCCCUGUUUAACAUUGUACUCCACUUAUAUAUAUUUUUGUUUUAUUAGGAUUCUUUUAAUUUUAUCUAUGACUCUUUCUGACGGUAGUGUGAUCAGAGAGGUUCAGCUUCUCCUGAAUGUGAGAAUGUGUUUUUCUGCACAGACGUAGAGCACGUUCAAGGAUCACACAGCUGGGUUUUUAAUGUUUUUAUUCAAGCACAGAUUGGUCAGCAGUGACGCAGAAGAUAAGAGUUGUUAAAGAGCGGAAGAAAACGUGCAAAACCACCAGAGAGAAGAAGAAUUCAAACUUAUUUAAUACAAAUUACAUUAUGAAACGACUGCAGUACUGUAGAAUUGUCACCAUCAGCGUUACUGUUCACAAUAAUGUCCACGUCUCUCACUGUGCGUGUUUGACUGUAGUGAGGACGAAGCUUCACUUUAAACCGACUAGGGCUGGCUUAGAGUAAUCAAUCCUCCGUUUAAAAUCAGUCUUUGUUUGCGUGAUCUAGAGCUGCGCAAUUAAUCGCAAUUUUAUCGAAAUCGCAAUAUGAACUGGUGCAAUAUCCAAAUUGCAGGGGGGCGCAAUAUUUGUUAAAGGCAAAAUAUAUGUCAAACCGUUCUAAAAUAAAGUAUUGUGGUGCUGCUGAGACAUCCUGGCCUACAAAUCCUAUCCUACGGACUAAAGAAAAGAUUUUUUCUUUUUAAUUUUUUUAGAUUUUUCAAUGAAAAUGAGAACAAUACAAAAAUGAUCAUUCCCUCCAAUAUCAUGAAUCAUAUCACAAUCGCAAUAUCAGUCAAAUAAUCGCAAUUAGAUAUUUUCCUCAUAUCGUGCAGCCCUAACGUGAUCCGAUUUCGAUUAAUAAAAUCUAGAAAUCUAUUUUUUUAAUUCUUGAAUUUUCACAAUGACUGUAUUAGCAAAAAGUCCUUUAAACUAACUUUUUUGGGGGGUCAAUUCUUAUUGUAAACGUCAUCGUAAAGAGAUUCAAGGGUUGCUUCUUGCUUGUACAAUUUCCAGCGGAAGAUCUCUGAGAAUCUUUAAUAUCCAAGCAAAAUUUGUAUUGUAACUAAAAUUAUCCUGUUACCUAAUUGAUAUUGAAUCGGAAAUGCAAUGCAAAAUCAAUUUUAGGAAAUCAUUGGCGUCACCUACAGCCCUAAAACUGUGGGUCAGUGUUUUCACUGUCAACCGUCCGUCUUGUUUCCACUCUCCUUCAAUGUGUCUACUGUAUUACACACACACACACGCACACACGCACGCACACACACACACACACACAGAAAUAUUCACCGAGUCUCCAGCAAAGCAGCGUCUUUGUAACCUUUCGGUGUCUUAUUUAAGAUGGAAGGAUGUCAAACCAAUCAGAAGUCCUAAUUAUUUUUGUAUUCUUUUUUUAUUUAAUUUCAUGUUUGGAUGGUUUAAAAAUGAUGAAUGGUGAAUGUGCCUUAUUUAAUUCACACUCAAAUAACCAAUAAUAAAGCUGGCAUUGAG
RNAcentral lists this long non-coding RNA (2676 nucleotides) under Sander lucioperca (pikeperch). Its description in RNAcentral is "lncRNA (ENSSLUG00000015154.1)". The record is from RNAcentral. Lineage: Eukaryota; Metazoa; Chordata; Actinopteri; Perciformes; Percidae.